AUGGGAACGCGAAGAACCUUACCUAGACUUGACAUCUCCUGAAUAGUGUAGAGAUACAUGAAGCCCUUUGGGGCAGGAAGACAGGUGGUGCAUGGUUGUCGUCAGCUCGUGUCGUGAGAUGUUGGGUUAAGUCCCGCAACGAGCGCAACCCUUAUUACUAGUUGCUACCAUUAAGUUGAGCACUCUAGUGAGACUGCCCGGGUUAACCGGGAGGAAGGCGGGGAUGACGUCAAAUCAUCAUGCCCCUUAUGUCUAGGGCAACACACGUGCUACAAUGGUGAGUACAGAUAGAUGCUAAGCCGUGAGGUGGAGCGAACCCCUAAAAGGCGUCUCAGUUCGGAUUGCAGGCUGCAACUCGCCUGCAUGAAGUCGGAAUCGCUAGUAAUCGCGGAUCAGCAUGCCGCGGUGAAUACGUUCCCGGGUC
RNAcentral lists this ribosomal RNA (424 nucleotides) under uncultured bacterium. RNAcentral's name for it is "bacterial SSU rRNA". It matches the Rfam family "Bacterial small subunit ribosomal RNA", at positions 954 to 1380 of the family's 1533-position model. The record is from RNAcentral.